Long non-coding RNA from Gallus gallus (chicken), 2575 nucleotides. Lineage: Eukaryota; Metazoa; Chordata; Aves; Galliformes; Phasianidae. The record is from Ensembl.
AUUCCAGUGCCUGACCACCCUUUCAGAGAAGGAGUAUUUCCUAGCGUCCAGCCUGAAUCUUCCCUGGUGCAGCUUGAAGCCAUGAGAAGCACCUGGGAAUGCUGUCACCUUGGGAGGUGGUAAGGGAAAACCCCAGACUCAUCCUGGAGGUACUAGGGAGGGCUCCUCUGAGAAGGCAAUGAGGCCAGUGGCUAAGCUGAAGUCCCUCUAUAUCAAUGCGUGCAGCAUGGGAAAUAAACAGGAGGAGCUAGAAACUGUGGUGCAAUUGGGAAAGUAUGACCUAAUUGCUAUCAUGGAAACAGGGUGGGAUGAAUCGCAUGAUUGGAAUACCCUGAUUGAGGACUACAGGCUUUUCAGAAGGGAUAGACAGGUUAGGAGGGUGGUGGAGUUGCCCUCUUAUGUUAGGAAGUGGACAGAUUGUGAAGAGCUGUGUCUGAGGAACAGCCAUGAUCAGGUUGAGAGCUUGUGGGUAAAAACUGCGGAUCAGUCCAGCAAAGGGCAUCUAGCGGCUGCGGUCUGUUACAGGCCACCUGAUCAGGAAGAGGCUGUGGACGAGACCUUCUUGCUUCAGCGGCAGGAGGUGUCAUGCUUGCGGGCUCUCCUCCUGAUGGAGGAUUUCAACCACCCGGAUAUCUGCUGGGAUAGUGCCAUGGUGGGUGGCAGACAAUCCAAGAGAUUCCUGGAGUCUGUUGAGGACAACUUUCUGGUCCAGGUAAUAGAUGGAGAGGUUUAGAUUGCGGGCAACCUGGGCUGCAGUGACCAUGCCUUGGUGGAGUUUGUGAUCUUGAAGAAUGCGGGCCUGGCAAAAAGCACAGUCACGACGCUGUGCUUUAGGAAAGGGAACUUCCGUCUGCUCAAGGAACUGCUGAGUGGGAUCCCCUGGGAAACUGUCCUUAAGGGCAUGGGCACAGACCAGAGAUGGCAGCUCUUUAAGGACACCCUUCCGAGAGCUCAAAGGCUCUCCAUCCCCCAGCAGAAGUCGUCGAGCAGGGGAGGCAGGCGACUGUCGUGGCUGUGCAAGGACCUGCAGCUUAAAUUGAGAGAAAAGAGGGAAAUGUACAGAAAGUGAAGCAGGGUUGUGUAUUCUGGGAGGAAUACAGGGCUGUUGUCCGUGUGUGUAGAGAUAGGAUUAGGAAAGCCAAGGCGCAGAUGGAGCUGAACUUGGUGCGGGAUGCGACAGACAACAAGAAGGGGUUCUACAGGUACAUAGGCAGGAGGAGACAGGCCAAGGAGAGUGUUCUCCCCCCGAUGAAAGGUAAUGGGGAGCUGGCUUCCUCAGACAUAGAAAAAGCUGAGGUACUUAAUGAGUGCUUUGCCUCAGUCUUCACGGGUGGUCAGGCUUCCCAUGUCUGCCAGGACCAUGAGCCUCUAGGUGAGGGUGUGGGGAGUGGUUUCUGUCCACCAAGCUGAGCGGUGCAGUCGAUACAUUGGAAGGAAGGGAAGCCAUCCCGAGGGACCUGGACAGGCUGGAGAAGUGGUCCCACGAAAACCUAAUGAGGUUCAAUAAGGCCAAGUGCAGGGUGCUGCACUUGGGUCGGGGCAAUCCCAGGUACUUCUAUAAACAGGGGGGAAGAUCUCCGUGAGAGCAGCCCUGUGGAGAAGGACCUGGGGGUCCUGGUGGAUGAGAAGCUGGACAUGAACCAGCAGUGUGCACCUGCAGCCUGGAAGGCCAACUGUGUGCUGGGCUGCAUUUAAAAAAAAAAAAAAAAAAAAAAAAAAAAGGCAGUGGCCAGCAGGGAGAGGUGAUUGUGCCCCUCUACUCAGCUCUUGAGAGGCCCCAUCUGAAGUACUGCAUCCAGACCUGGUGCUCCCAGUACAGGAAGGACAUGGAGCUCUUGGAGCGCAUCCAGAGGAGGGCCACUAAGAUGAUCAGAGGGCAGGAGCACCUCUCCUGUGAGGAAAGGUUGAGGGAACUGGGCUUGUUUAGCUUGGAGAAGAGAAGGCUCCAGGGGGACCUCAUUGUGGCCUUCCAGUACUUGAAGGAAGCGUAUAAACAGGAAGGGGAACGGCUGUUUGUGAGGGUGGAAAGUGGUAGGAUAAGGAGGAAUAGUCUUAAACUGAGACAGGGGUGGUUUAGGUUAGAUAUUAGGAGGAAGUUUUUCACCCAGAGGGUGGUGAUGCACUGGAACAGGUUGCCCAAGUAGGUUGUGAAUGCAUCCAGGGAUGGGGCAUCCAAGGCCAGGCUGGAAGUGGCUCUGGGCAGCCUGCUCUGGUGGUUGGCGACCCUGCACAUAGCAGGGGCAUUGAAACUCGAUGGUCAUUGCGGUCGUUUUCAACCUGGGCCAUUCUAUGAUUCUAUGGCCAUCUCGAACCAUCAGCGCCAAGAUGUGUGUGCCAGUACUGUCACUCUCCUUGCACACAACUGAUAGGUGAAAACUCUGAUGUGGUGAGACUGGAGUUAUCAAUUAUAAUCACUUCUUUGAAGGAGUCAGAUCUAAGACAACUGAGACUAGCUGAAGAUCUGUUUUGAUAAGACAGAAAUCAAGUUUCUGCAAGCCGUGUUUUUCUCUGUUCUGAGAUGCUGUACUGCUGUAAGAAGCAACAUUUGAACUGCUUCUGUUUUCUUGCUUUUGUA